This 555-nucleotide long non-coding RNA is filed under the name Elaeis guineensis (African oil palm). RNAcentral describes it as "long non-coding RNA (EGUI_LNC041161)". Lineage: Eukaryota; Viridiplantae; Streptophyta; Magnoliopsida; Arecales; Arecaceae. The record is from RNAcentral.
ACCACUUAAUAUCAAAUUACAGUAUAAAUCAAAAACUAUCAAAAUAGAAAAUCCAAUAGAAAAAGCAUUAUAAACCGAUCAACCAAUACUUAAUACCACUAUAGCAGCACGUGGCUAAAAGAGAAUAUAAAAUUUAUGGUGCCUAAUAUCAGUCAAAAAUCUAAAAGAUUAGAUGAAACAUUGAAACAUAAUGAGGAUUUCAAUGAAAAAUAAAAAUUUGUGGGUAAAUGUAACAUUACUUUAGAUUCUCAUGUAGCAUUGACAAUGAUCUAGUGAUUUCCUAUGAUGAACUCUCAUAGCAAAUGUAACAAUCAUUAUUCUUCAAUAGGAUAGAUCAUUUGCUUAUAAUUCAAAAUAGCAAUGAAUAGCUCACCCAGUCACUUGCAUUCUAUGGCUUCUUAAUUUUUUAUAUCCACAAGCUGACCCACCAAUCUACCCAGAAACUGAUCUUUUUUAUCCAAAGUUCAAACCGUAAUUGAGGUGAAAUGAACAACCAUUGUAAUUGUUAAAAAAAUAAAUAAAUAAAAUAAAAAUAGCAAUACUAAAGGCUAGCCA